GGAUCAUUACUGAGUACUACACUCUCUACCCUUUGUGAACUAUUAUACCUGUUGCUUCGGCGGCGCCCGCAAGGGUGCCCGCCGGUCUCAUCAGAAUCUCUGUUUUCGAACCCGACGAUACUUCUGAGUGUUCUUAGCGAACUGUCAAAACUUUUAACAACGGAUCUCUUGGCUCCAGCAUCGAUGAAGAACGCAGCGAAACGCGAUAUGUAAUGUGAAUUGCAGAAUUCAGUGAAUCAUCGAAUCUUUGAACGCACAUGGCGCCUUCCAGUAUCCUGGGAGGCAUGCCUGUCCGAGCGUCGUUUCAACCCUCGAGCCCCUGUGGCCCGGCGUUGGGGAUCUGCCACGGCAGGCCCCUAAAACCAGUGGCGGACCCGAAGGCCCUCUCCUUUGCGCAGUAGCAUCAGCCUCGCAUUGGGAUCCCUCGGCGUCCUGCCUCUAAACCCCCCACAAGUCCGCUCCGGCGGCACCAAGGUUGACCUCGGAUCAGGUAGGAAUA
RNAcentral lists this unclassified non-coding RNA (499 nucleotides) under Plectosphaerella cucumerina. RNAcentral's name for it is "partial contains ITS1, 5.8S rRNA, ITS2". The stretch from base 149 to 302 matches the Rfam family "5.8S ribosomal RNA". Lineage: Eukaryota; Fungi; Ascomycota; Sordariomycetes; Glomerellales; Plectosphaerellaceae. The record is from RNAcentral.